This 474-nucleotide ribosomal RNA is filed under the name Abothrium gadi. Its description in RNAcentral is "SSU rRNA". It matches the Rfam family "Eukaryotic small subunit ribosomal RNA", at positions 787 to 1255 of the family's 1831-position model. The record is from RNAcentral. Lineage: Eukaryota; Metazoa; Platyhelminthes; Cestoda; Bothriocephalidea; Triaenophoridae.
GAUGUUGCCUGAAAAGUUUUGCAUGGAAUAAUGGAAUAGGACUUCGGUUCUAUUUCGUUGGUUUUCGGAUCCGAAGUAAUGAUCAAUAGAGACAGGCGGGGACGUUUGUAUGGUUGCGCUAGAGGUGAAAUUCUUGGACCGUAGCCAGACAAACUAAAGCGAAAGCAUUCGUCAAGCAUGUUUUCAUUGGCCAUGAGCGAAAGUCAGAGGCUCGAAGACGAUCAGAUACCGUCCUAGUUCUGACCAUAAACGAUGCCAACUGACGAUCCGUGGUGGUAGUCUAUAAACCUUCCUCACGGGCAGUCCCCGGGAAACCAUUAAGUCUAUGGGUUCCGGGGGAAGUAUGGUUGCAAAGCUGAAACUUAAAGGAAUUGACGGAAGGGCACCACCAGGAGUGGAGCCUNNGGCUUAAUUUGACUCAACACGGGAAAACUCACCCGGCCCGGACACUAUGAGGAUUGACAGAUUGAAAGC